RNAcentral lists this non-coding RNA (45 nucleotides) under Schistosoma mansoni. Lineage: Eukaryota; Metazoa; Platyhelminthes; Trematoda; Strigeidida; Schistosomatidae. The record is from RNAcentral.
AUCCAGCUGACGAGUCUCAAAUAGGAAGAGACGCGCGACCUGGAU